RNAcentral lists this ribosomal RNA (253 nucleotides) under uncultured bacterium. Its description in RNAcentral is "partial 16S ribosomal RNA". It matches the Rfam family "Bacterial small subunit ribosomal RNA", at positions 524 to 776 of the family's 1533-position model. The record is from RNAcentral.
UACGUAGGGGGCUAGCGUUGUCCGGAAUCAUUGGGCGUAAAGCGCGUGUAGGCGGCCCGAUAAGUCCGCUGUGAAAGUCCAGGGCUCAACCCUGGGAUGCCGGUGGAUACUGUCGGGCUCGAGUCCGGAAGAGGUGAGUGGAAUUCCCAGUGUAGAGGUGAAAUUCGUAGAUAUUGGGAAGAACACCGGUGGCGAAGGCGGCUCACUGGCUCAUUUCUGACGCUCAGGCGCGACAGCGUGGGGAUCAAACAGG